Long non-coding RNA from Felis catus (domestic cat), 3378 nucleotides. RefSeq lists it as uncharacterized. The record is from RefSeq and is a predicted model, not a curated record. Lineage: Eukaryota; Metazoa; Chordata; Mammalia; Carnivora; Felidae. The transcript is spliced from 2 exons.
GGACAAGGCAUAGCAUAACAUAUAAGUUGUCAAAUCACUAUGUUGGACACCUGAAACUAACAUUGUGUGUCAACUAUACCUCAAUUUAAAAAAAAAAAAAAAGGUUUUUUUAAGAUGCAGCACGAGGGCUGCCUCCCUCUAGAAGCCCUCCUGAUGCCUGCUCUGCGUUCCCUUGGACUCAGGCUGUGCCGUCUGCUACGGCCCUGAUUCUGCUUGCCUUGUACCAGGGUGGUUCCUCUCGUCAUUGUCUCCAACUUUGCACUUGACAAGUUUCUGGAAGGCAGCUGGGACUGAGAUCUGCCCUGCACACUGAGCCUGAGUCUAGGCCAUCACUGCCUCUGAUGCCCUCACACCACUGGACCCCCCACCUCCAGAGCCAACCCUGACCAGCAGCUCCCUACAUACCUACAGGGGAUCCAGUGUGGCCAGGGCCAGAGGCCACAGAAUGCUCAGAAAAGGAAAUCAAAGCCAAUGGGUAGGGAAUUUGGGCACAAUCACAGCAUCAGAAAACCGGUGCUGAAAAGGCCCUCAGAGGCGGUGUGGUUCUCAGGGACAGUGUGGCCCAGGGAAAAUCGCCUGGAGUCAGUAGACUUGGCUUUCACCCCCUUGCUGUGUGGCCUCAGGUAAACCAUCAACCUCUCUGAGCUGGUUUUCUCAUCUGUAAAAUGAGGCUGAUAGUUCUUGCCUCUAGAGCUUUGUGAGGCCGGGCGAACUCACAUUUAUACCUCAGGACUUGUGUGAUCCGACCACCUCUUUAGUACCUUGUCACUUCUUUGACCUUGCCUCGUAUUCCCCUCCCCUCUGGCCGGCUGUACUCCGGCCUCACUUGCUGUUCCUUCAAGCCUCCAGCUAAGCUCUCACACGGUGCCCUUGCACUUGUCUCCCCUCGGGUAUCUGUAUGCUCAUCCCCCGUCCCUGCCAUUGUCUCUGCUCAGAUGUCAACUCUUCCACGAGGUCUUCACUAGCCCCCUGUCCCUGAUGGAAACCAGCCGCUCUCAGCACCUCCUAUCACCUCCUCUGACUUAGCAUGUCUUUUAGCGGCUUGUUUGGUUAUUAUCCAUCUUCCCCACUGGAGUGGAACUGCUGUGGAGGGACCAAAUUCCAGAAUCAGGUCCCCUCAUUCUACAGAUGGGGUGGUGCUCGGCCCAUGUCGCGGGCCAGCAGGUGGCAAAGGCCACAUGAACGCUUUUUCUCAGGCAGCUGCCCCUUGCUACUUGGGCAGAACCAAAACGGUUCUUCCUGCCGUGGCUUAGCACCCCCUGGUUAGGUUACUCAGGAGGUAAGCCCAAAGCCUAGAAAUACCACCUCCCUAGAGGACCUGUUCCUGAGGGCCCAGGAGAGUCAGCAGGGUAAGUUACAGGGACCUUCCCCAGCCUGGAUUCUCAGCAGCUCCUGGAAGGCCCCUUGAGUCCUGGGCCCUGCUGGUUGGAGAAAGGAGAAGGGUACAACUCCUGCCUUGUGCCUCACUUCGGGCCCAUCCUUCUGAAAUGUUCUCAUCUCAUCUGGGCUGGGGACAAAGGUCUGAGUGUCCUUGCUAGGGGACGGCUGGGGGAUGUCGUGGAGUGUUGAGAGACAGGGCAGUGGGGGUAGCACCUCACUCCAGAGCCUGUAGGAGGUUGGGAUGGGGACGUCAGAGGGAGGCAGGCCUAGCCCCUCCACACUAACGAUUCUUCCUUCUUUGGCUUCUGGUUCUGACAUCCCGCACCCCCAUCUGGCCACAGCCUCACAAGAUGCCGAUGCUGCUGGUCCAGGGACGGCACCUCGAGAACGACCGGGUUACGGCACUAGAUCUUUUUGUUUAGGACAACAAAAUCUCCCUGUGCAGCUAGGGGUGCUCAGGGGGCGAAGGCAGAAGUGACACGAGCAACCUUAGGACCAUGCCCUUAAAAGGAACCGAGGAACGUGCGUUUGAAAACCAUAUAGUUCUCUCCAAGGCUCAAAAUGAAAAGCUCGCCAGCCUCUCGCACUCCUGCCCACUCCCGUUUCCGGCUCUCCAGAAGCAAUCACUUAGAACACUUUUAGCUGUUUCUCUGAAUAUUUACUGCCAUAUUUCUACAGAUGCUCACGCUGCUAUUUUUAAGGUUUCAAUAUGAUCUUUCAAUUUCCUGUCGUGCAACAUGAGAAUUUAGUUUUAUUUUGGCCUUCUCCCCUUACCAAACAGAAUUACCCCUCCGCUUCCCAGUGUAGUUACAUUACCAUUUCCCAGCUGAAUUAAUAGUAGGUGGUGUAUUAGUUUUCCAUUGCUGCUGUAACAAAUUACCACAAACUUAGCAGCUUAAAGCAACACACACUUACCACCUCACAGUUCUGUAAGCCAGAGGUCCGGCAGGCUCUGUUGGUUUCUCUGCUCCAGGUUCUGGUGUUGCCUGACCUGGGUUCUUACCUGGAGGUUCUGGGGGGAAAAUCCACUUCCAGGCUCAUUCAGUUAUUGAAGGGAUUCAGUUCCAAUGGAAGGACUGAGGUCCCUGUUUCCCAUUGGCUGUUGGAUGGGUGAUUUUCAUGUUUCAGAGGCCACUCGGGCCUCUCCAUCUUCAAAGCCAACCAGACACCCCUUAGCAUGCUUUGACUCUCUCUGACUUCUUCCACGGCAUCUCUCUCACUGACCCCAGCUGGAGAAAUUUCUCUGCUUUUAAGGGCUCAAGUGAUUAGAUUGGGCCCACCUGGUAAUCCAGGAUAAUCUUCCUAUUUUAGGGCCCAUAACUGUAAUUGCAUCUGCAAAGUCCCUUUUGCACAUAUCAUAAAGUAGUCACAGGCACAACAGCAGCAAGCAAAGGGCAUAGGGGACAAAAUCCUGUCUACCACAGGUUACAUUAGAGCGAUUAUUUAGACAUGUGGCACGGUAAUGAUCACGUUUUCUUAUUUAGUUUUUUGCUUUCCUUGGGGUUAGUGAUUGCUUUCUGUUUAUUAUUAUUUAUUGUUAUUACUCAUUAUUAUGUUCUGUAUGUCUAUCCUGAGUUCUUGGGACUUGAAGAUAUUGCCAUUCGGCCAUUGCACCUGAAGGAUUUGUUUAAUCCGCUGGGGCUGGGCCUAAGGUCUUUCCUGAGUCCAGGUAUGGCAUUCCAGACUUUUGUGAUAUGAAAGGCUCAGCUAGAAGGCCAGCACUCCUGAAAUUUAGCCGAAGCAAAGGGUCGUAUACACAUAUGCAAAUCGGAGUGGAGGCCUGGAAAUUUACAGUGUUGGAGGAAGUGGUAAGAGUCAAGAAGGAGCAGAAUGGCGACAGUUAUGAACAGUAUACAACUGCUAACACAAAACUGUACAAUAACACAGUUAUACAGCUCCUGACAUGACUUGUUCAAGCAUGUUCCUUGAGACUUAAUUUGCAAGAGCAAAAAAAAAAAAAAAAAAAAAAAAAACCUAUAGGCCCAUCAACAGGGGGAA